This 465-nucleotide ribosomal RNA is filed under the name Vreelandella stevensii. RNAcentral's name for it is "partial 16S ribosomal RNA". It matches the Rfam family "Bacterial small subunit ribosomal RNA", at positions 338 to 795 of the family's 1533-position model. The record is from RNAcentral. Lineage: Bacteria; Pseudomonadati; Pseudomonadota; Gammaproteobacteria; Oceanospirillales; Halomonadaceae.
CCUACGGGCGGCAGCAGUGGGGAAUAUUGGACAAUGGGCGAAAGCCUGAUCCAGCCAUGCCGCGUGUGUGAAGAAGGCCUUCGGGUUGUAAAGCACUUUCAGUGGGGAAGAAAGCCUUGGGGCUAAUACCCUCGAGGAAGGACAUCACCCACAGAAGAAGCACCGGCUAACUCCGUGCCAGCAGCCGCGGUAAUACGGAGGGUGCGAGCGUUAAUCGGAAUUACUGGGCGUAAAGCGCGCGUAGGCGGUCUGAUAAGCCGGUUGUGAAAGCCCCGGGCUCAACCUGGGAACGGCAUCCGGAACUGCAAAGCUAGAGUGCAGGAGAGGGAGGUAGAAUUCCCGGUGUAGCGGUGAAAUGCGUAGAGAUCGGGAGGAAUACCAGUGGCGAAGGCAGCCUUCUGGACUGACACUGACGCUGAGGUGCGAAAGCGUGGGUAGCAAACAGGAUUAGAUACCCUUGUAGUC